RNAcentral lists this unclassified non-coding RNA (382 nucleotides) under Hevea brasiliensis (rubber tree). The record is from RNAcentral. Lineage: Eukaryota; Viridiplantae; Streptophyta; Magnoliopsida; Malpighiales; Euphorbiaceae.
CUGUAGACAAAAGCCAUGGAGGGUAACAAGCCUACAACGGUGAUGUGUACGGUACUUGCUUUGGACCAUUCCAACCUCUUUUACAGAGCCUGCUCCGUCUGCGAGAGAACUCUUCCGGACACUCCUAAUUCUCUCUGCAGAUUCUGUGACAGCUUCAACCCCGCCUCUUCCUCCUCUUCCAAGCGUCUGUUUCGCCUCCUUGUUUCAAUUGCCACAGAUACCAAGGUGCUUAAUGUCAUCUGCUUUGAUAGGGCUGCUAGAGUCUUGUUUGGAUGCUCUGCUGAUGAGUUUUUUGACUUCGCCAAGAUUCACCCUUUUGCUGCCGCCAAUGCUGGAACAAUUCUAGAAGGGGAGAUGUUUAAGAUGACACUGUCAAAACCCG